RNAcentral lists this unclassified non-coding RNA (279 nucleotides) under plant metagenome. Its description in RNAcentral is "partial contains small subunit ribosomal RNA, internal transcribed spacer 1, and 5.8S ribosomal RNA". The record is from RNAcentral.
UUUCCGUAGGUGAACCUGCGGAAGGAUCAUUAUUGUAUAACCAAGGUUCGAGGUCUGUCGCUGACCCGAAAGUGCUGGCACGGCCGGGUGCGCUCACACACGUCCAUCUCACCCCUAUGUAGACCACCGCGGGGGUCCCCCUUUGUUUUGUUCGGAGUGGGUCGUACGUUUUCACUCAUACUUUGUUUGCAGUUUAGAAUGUAUUUUUUGUUUUUGCUAUCACUCAAUCGAUACAACUUUCUACAACCAAUCGCUUGGCUCUUUCAGCGAUGAAGAACG